UACGUAGGUGACAAGCGUUGUCCGGAUUACUGGGCGUAAAGAGCGCGCAGGCGGUCGUUCAAGUCGAGUGUGAAAGCCCCCGGCUCAACUGGGGAGGUCAUUCGAUACUGAUCGACUCGAAGGCAGGAGAGGGAAGUGGAAUUCCCGGUGUAGUGGUGAAAUGCGUAGAUAUUGGGAGGAACACCAGUGGCGAAGGCGGCUCACUGGGACCGG
This 213-nucleotide ribosomal RNA is filed under the name uncultured bacterium. RNAcentral's name for it is "partial 16S ribosomal RNA". It matches the Rfam family "Bacterial small subunit ribosomal RNA", at positions 524 to 737 of the family's 1533-position model. The record is from RNAcentral.